GGGGGUGUAGCUCAGUGGUAGAGCGCGUGCUUAGCAUGCACGAGGUCCUGGGUUCGAUCCCCAGUACCUCCA
RNAcentral lists this transfer RNA (72 nucleotides) under Nomascus leucogenys (northern white-cheeked gibbon). RNAcentral describes it as "tRNA-Ala (AGC) (tRNA-Ala-AGC-5-1)". It matches the Rfam family "tRNA". Rfam says of the family: Transfer RNA (tRNA) molecules are approximately 80 nucleotides in length. Lineage: Eukaryota; Metazoa; Chordata; Mammalia; Primates; Hylobatidae. The record is from Rfam by way of RNAcentral.